Molecule: ribosomal RNA, 253 nt
Filed under: uncultured bacterium
Lineage: Bacteria
Description: partial 16S ribosomal RNA
Rfam family: Bacterial small subunit ribosomal RNA
Source: RNAcentral
UACGUAGGGUCCGAGCGUUGUCCGGAAUUACUGGGCGUAAAGAGCUCGUAGGCGGUCUGUCACGUCGGCCGUGAAAACCCGAGGCUCAACCUCGGGCCUGCAGUCGAUACGGGCAAACUAGAGUACUGCAGGGGAGACUGGAAUUCCUGGUGUAGCGGUGAAAUGCGCAGAUAUCAGGAGGAACACCGGUGGCGAAGGCGGGUCUCUGGGCAGUAACUGACGCUGAGGAGCGAAAGCGUGGGGAGCGAACAGG